This 492-nucleotide ribosomal RNA is filed under the name uncultured bacterium. RNAcentral describes it as "bacterial SSU rRNA". It matches the Rfam family "Bacterial small subunit ribosomal RNA", at positions 382 to 872 of the family's 1533-position model. The record is from RNAcentral.
ACCGAUCAGCAUACCGCGGUGCUGAAGMAGRCCUGAGGGUUGUAAAGCACUUUCAAUUGUGAAGAAAAGUUAAAGGUUAAUAACCUUUAGCCUUGACGUUAACUUUAGAAGAAGCACCGGCUAACUCCGUGCCAGCAGCCGCGGUAAUACSGAGGGUGCAAGCGUUUAUCSGAAUUACUGGGCGUAAAGCGUGCGUAGGUGGUUUGUUAAGUUAGAUGUGAAAGCCCUGGGCUCAACCUAGGAACUGCAUUUAAAACUGGCAAACUAGAGUAUAGGAGAGGAAAGUGGAAUUUCASGUGUAGCGGUGAAAUGCGUAGAUAUCUGAARGAACAUCMAUGGCGAAGGCAGCUUUCUGGACUAAUACUGACACUGAGGUACGAAAGCGUGGGUAGCAACAGGAUUAGAUCCCUGGUAUGUCCACCCGUAAAGCGAUGACAACUAGCCGUUGGGAGGUUUACCUCUUAGUGCGAAGCUAACCGCGUUAAGUUCCGC